Molecule: ribosomal RNA, 471 nt
Filed under: Oerstediina sp. B02 IceAGE
Lineage: Eukaryota; Metazoa; Nemertea; Enopla; Monostilifera
Description: partial large subunit ribosomal RNA
Rfam family: Bacterial large subunit ribosomal RNA
Source: RNAcentral
AGUUUUUUGAAGUUUUAUUAAAAAUGGUUUCUGCUCAAUGUUAAUAAAUAGCCGCGGUAAUUUGACUGUGCAAAGGUAGCAUAAUCAUUUGCCUUGUAAUUUAGGGCUGGUAUGAAUGGAUUUACGAAAACCUUUCUGUCUCUUUCUUUGUUUUUGAAUUUGUAUUUAUUGUGAAGAUGCAUUGAUAAAUAAAUUAGACAAGAAGACCCUUUGAGCUUUUAUUUUUUUGGUUUUUUUGAAUUUCCAAGUGAAUUUGGUUGGGGCAACCAAGGAAGAGGUUUUUAAUAUAUCUUCCUUUAAUAACAAUGAACCAGUUUUAUUGGAUUUUGGAACAAGUUACCUAAGGGAUAACAGCGUAAUUUUUUUUGAGAGUUCUUAUUAAAAAUGAAGAUUGCGACCUCGAUGUUGACUUAUUGUUUCCUUAUUGGUGUAGCAGCUUUAAGGGUGGGUCUGUUCGACCUUUAAAACAUU